CCUACGGGGGGCAGCAGUCGAGAAUCAUUCACAAUGGGGGAAACCCUGAUGGUGCGACGCCGCGUGGGGGAAUGAAGGUCUUCGGAUUGUAAACCCCUGUCAUGUGGGAGCAAAUUAAAAAGAUAGUACCACAAGAGGAAGAGACGGCUAACUCUGUGCCAGCAGCCGCGGUAAUACAGAGGUCUCAAGCGUUGUUCGGAAUCACUGGGCGUAACGCGUGCGUAGGCUGUUUCGUAAGUCGUGUGUGAAAGGCGCGGGCUCAACCCGCGGACGGCACAUGAUACUGCGAGACUAGAGUAAUGGAGGGGGAACCGGAAUUCUCGGUGUAGCAGUGAAAUGCGUAGAUAUCGAGAGGAACACUCGUGGCGAAGGCGGGUUCCUGGACAUUAACUGACGCUGAGGCACGAAGGCCAGGGGAGCGAAAGGGAUUAGAUACCCGUGUAGUC
Molecule: ribosomal RNA, 446 nt
Filed under: uncultured bacterium
Lineage: Bacteria
Description: partial 16S ribosomal RNA
Rfam family: Bacterial small subunit ribosomal RNA
Source: RNAcentral